UACGAAUGGGGCAAGCGUUGUUCGGAAUCACUGGGCUUAAAGCGUGCGCAGGCGGUCUUGCAAGUCAGAAGUGAAAUCCCGGGGCUCAACCCCGGAAUUGCUUUUGAAACUGCUUGACUAGAAACCGGGAGAGGUUAGCAGAAUUCCGAGUGUAGAGGUGAAAUUCGCAGAUAUUCGGAGGAAUACCAGUGGCGAAGGCGGCUAACUGGACCGGCAUUGACGCUCAUGCACGAAAGCGUGGGGAGCAAACAGG
RNAcentral lists this ribosomal RNA (253 nucleotides) under uncultured bacterium. RNAcentral's name for it is "partial 16S ribosomal RNA". It matches the Rfam family "Bacterial small subunit ribosomal RNA", at positions 524 to 776 of the family's 1533-position model. The record is from RNAcentral.